Molecule: long non-coding RNA, 232 nt
Filed under: Carica papaya (papaya)
Lineage: Eukaryota; Viridiplantae; Streptophyta; Magnoliopsida; Brassicales; Caricaceae
Description: long non-coding RNA (CPAP_LNC005237)
Source: RNAcentral
GUAUCUAUUUUUUCCUCCCCUAUCUGGUCUGGAAAGACAUAAGAGUACCACCCCCAAUGAAUGACAGCGUACCCUCUAACGAAUGUGGUAUCAUACUAUCUGUAAUUGUCACCCGUGGCUAAGUAAUGGCGUGACUAUAGAUAUCUGUUAGGGCCACUAUGGCUGGUACAACUAUGAUCAUAGAUUAUACCAUGGUUUGGCCUGCCAGAAAUCGGCUUGAGAAAAUUUUCAU